ACCCAUAACACAAAUAUUUCCCCAAUUUUUGAUCUUUUGGAUACCACUCUCAUGAUUUUGCCAUAUCUGUGUUAACAUCUAUACUAUUUACUUAAUUUAAAAAUUUACUCCCUCCUUUUUAUCACCCUUAAUCUUAUCCUAAGCAAUAAAUCUGAGUAAACAGUUUUCUAAUGCUAGUCAUAUACAUGUAUGUGUGUGUGUCUGUGUCUGUGUAUACCCAUAAGAUAAAAUAAAUAUGUAACUGUUAUCAUAAAAAUCUUAGUUUAUGUACCACCUAAAAUCACCUCACAUAUAAAAAAUGGUAUGCAUGCCAUUCUUUGGACACAGUGCCCUACUCUAUACUAUUUGCAUAUGUAGCUGAGUUAUCAUAAUUGCAUGUAAAUUUGGUGGUGGAUAUAUCGAAUUAAAACUUGGGUCAUUAUGUGCUAUCUCUUUUUACCUUCUCCAGAAGAAUAAAUUAAUUUAUGGAGUAAUGAGGACCAUCUGAAGAAGUGGCUAUGGCCCAGACAUAAGAGAAAGUGAGAGCUGACUGGUAGAGCAAUCACCAGGGGAAGAAAUAUUUUAGUAAGAAGAAAAUUUGGAUUAAGGAGAGAACAGAUUUCACUAGUAAGCAGUUAAGGGAAGGACGUUUGGAGGAAAACACCGAGAAAAUCAGUAGUAUUGAGGGGACGUGGCGUUAUGUACCAGUGAUUGUAAUGUGUAGAUAGGUAAAGCAAUGCAAGCUUCUUUCACUCCAGUGUUGUCAUAUAACUCACUUUGAGGAAAUGUGUGAAAUCAGAGUCACCAGUGUUUCUGACACUACUGCCUCUCUACUUGAGAGAUUCCCGGGCCCUCAGGUGCUGGCAACAAGAGCAAAGAGUAAGCGGUUAGCUAGCUGCCUGGCUGUUCUAAGGGCUAAGACAACAGUUUGUAUGUGUGAGCAGGCCUGACUUGUUAUUAUCUUUGCCUGUCUGGGAUAAGGCAAUGAUUAUAGAUAUUAAUGAGGAGUGUUUGCUUGAGCCCUGGUGGACUGUACUCAGCGUAAACAUGAGUUGUUGCUGCUGUUGUUUUCAAUUUGUACCAUUAACAGCAAACAUUUAAGAAGAAACUGUAAGAUUAAGGAUGAAACCAGAAGGCUUGUGGUGAAACCCAAUAAGGUAGUAUCCCCAUUUUGUUCUAAUUGGUUUUAACUAGCAAUCAAAGAGGCCAGAUGGCCUCCCCUGGGAAGGAGAGUACUACAUUUUAGGGAAAUAUAUGCUUGUCCUUCUUCAUGAAUAUUCGUUCUCUUGUUCUUGCCAACAGCAUCAUUUUUCAUUUUAUUUCUUCAAUAACAACUCAGAUGUCAUUUGCAGUUUUUAAAGAAUAUGACAUUGGUAUUAAAAUAUCAAUCUGUCAAAUGUUUUUACAUUCAGGUGCUAGCUCUGUUAACCUGCACUUUGGUGUAUUUUUAUAACUUGGGGGAAAUAUCCCUCUUUGGGAUAUGAUUUCAGGACAAUUUAGAAACAAACUACAGAAAUUGACAGUAAGAUACUAAGUUGAUUUUUGAAAUCUGGAGGCAUUUCCAGCAAAGAAAUGAAGUAAGAGCAGAUGAAUUAAAUGUGAGAUGUGGAGCCAGUCAACAGGAUAGGAUUACGGGAGUCUAGAGAAUUGGGAGAGAAAGGCAGAGUAGUUUGUAGAAUAAGAAUUACACCCAAACUGUCAGAUUGAGUUGUAAGUUUCAAUAGGCAGUUCUGUUCUUAUGCUCAAAAAUGAGAUUAAUCUUUCCAUCUUGUAGGGUCUUCUCUAUUUUUUUCCACUUGGUUUGUGGUAAAGGCUAAUUUUGGCACUAUGCCAUCAUCCAUUCUAUAUGUUCCUUCUAGUUUUUGAAAGUUUUUACUAUUGCACGUACUGCAUUCCUUUUAGAACAGCUCGGAUGAGAUUUACUACUAUUUACAUGCCUAAGUCAUAAAUACCAGCCUCAAGAGAACAUGCAUCAUAUUGAUUAUCAAUGUAAAACAUUCUUUAAACAUCACCUCUUUGCAAGGCACCAAAUAGGACUACAGAUAGGACCACAAAAGAACUACAGUCCCUGGCUCUUAGCACUUACAAUCAAGCUGAACAGAAAAGGAAUCAAUUUCUGAAGAAACAACUAGUAAACACACUAAAAUAUAGUCUGUACUUUAAAAUUUCAGGUAGCCAUAUCAUAACUUAACGAAAUUAUUUCUCAGAGUUUCAGAGUUGUACCUUUGGCAUUUACAGACUUAGCCUGAAGUGGCUACCCCUGUUCAAAAUGAUCUUUGGAAACCCUCUUUGAUAUUGCCUUUAGAACCUGUGAUCCAUUCUUUGGAAUUUCCUCAGGGGCCAAAAACAUUUUUACUGAAAAGGUGAAAAUUGAUUUCAGGAAACAGUUAAGAGUCAUUUGGAGCCAAGGGUGGUAAAUAAGAAAGCCAAACAAGUGAAGUAAUGCCACUUUGGGGUUGAAUUGUGGUGUGCCUGCAAAUCAAUAAGACUGUUUUUCUUGGAUGGUUUGGAAAAUAAUUUUGAAUGCAAUUUAUCUAUACAAGUUCCCAAGUUUUUUUUUCCCUCAAUGUUACUGUCUUUGGAAUAGGUGGACAGCUUCCAAGGUAUCAAUAAGCACUUCUCAAUCUGGAUACUGUGUCUUUUAGAGAAUCCAGAGAGAGAAAGAGAAUUUCCCUACCACAGUGUCAUAAGUGGUAGUUUGAUCUCCAGACCAGAUAACAAAAGCCUAAAAAAAGCAGAGCCGAAGAGAGUAAUACAGCUCUUUUAACCACAUCUAGGCAGGAUUUUAAAGCCUUUUUUCUCUGGGAAAAUUCAAUUGGUAUUCAAGUUCUCCCACAAUUCAUGCAGCAGAAUCUAGGGUACCUUUGUUUCGGUGAUGACCCAGCUAGUACAGCUACCAUUAAUUUGUUCUCUCAGAGUUUAUAAAACAGUAAUUUCUCAAGUGUUUUUGAGAUGGUUCCCUCCUUUUCAACCCCUCCUAGUUCUUGCUCUAUCAGUUAUCCUCUCUUGUGUUUUCUCCAUAGACUUAAUUUCUUUUCUAUUGAAACAAACAGGCUUCCAUCCAACUUGGUAUCCCCCCACUAGACUUCAUAUCCUCUUUCUCAUUUCCGUGUUGCCCAACCCUUUCAAGAAAAUAACCCAUUACUGUCUCCAGUUCCUCACUGCCUAUAUGAUGCUUAGUUUGCUACAAUCUGAACUUCUGUCCCCAGAAUCCAGAUUAGUAAAUUGGUGAUUAGAAAACUUCCUGAAAGAUCCAUUUAAAUUGGUGUGGACAGAAGCCUGAUUGCAGGGUAUUAAAUAUUAUGUGGGCAGUGCAACCUUGAAGGCACAGAUCCCCACAACUUCUAAUGAAAUUUAGCAAUGAAAAAGAGGGGCAUCAGGUGGGAGCUGAGGUAGGGUGGCAUGUGGGUGGAGUGUGAGGAUGGGGAGGAAGGCUCAAGCAAUGGUUUUUGUUUAGAUAGGAAAGACCUAUAUAAGACUAUAGCUAUAUGGAAAAGAGCCAAAGGAGAAGGAGAAGUUAGAAAUGUUAAAGAGAUUUAUUCUAAAUGGAGGGCCUGAGCUUAACAAAAAGGGAUACCUCUUUCUGUGGACUGAAGGGAAAGAUAAGAGGAUAAGCAUGGCUUAAAUGUCAAUUGGGAAGUGUUUUUGUUCCCAAAAGUACUCUUCUUGGUUUAACUUAAGUACUAUUAUUUGCAAAAUCUUCCAAAGCCCUUUAAGGCUUGUCUUUAACUAGAUCAGUGUAACUUGGCCCUUGACUGGACCCCAAUAUGGGACUUUUCAUAGUUACUUGACUUAAAGGUUACUUAGUUAAAGGUUCCUCACACCAAGAUGAUAUAGGUGGAACUGGUAUGGGCCAUCUGAUCAUCUUAUUUUUAAUCUACAUAUUGAACCAGCUGUGCUUUCAAUUUCCAUUCCUGGUUAACAUUUUGCAUAAUUUCUAUUGCAAAGAUAUCUAAUAUGGUUCCAGAAAGUAACCAACAUAGGAGUGAAGCUAGGAUCACUAAAAUAUUUGGUCUUGGCUGUGCACUUCUGCAUCAAAGCCUAUAGAGUAAUCUUUAUCCCAUUAUUAUAAUUUAGAUUUGGGUGUAAAGAUCCCUAAGUGCUUCUAUGCGCCAUGUUUUCUGUGUUCUCCACAAAAGAUAUGCUUUGCAAACAUCAAAGGCAGCAAUGAUGAAUGACAUGCACCUAAUGCAUAAAAUCCCACUCCCACAUCUAUUUGAAGGCAGCCUGCUUUUCUUUCAUGAACAUACACUAUAUCAAUCUGGACAAUUCAGGCUGGAAACAACCACAUGACAGUCCAAAGUAAUUCAUGUAAAAGCAGAAGCAUUUUGCCUAAAUCACCUAGGUAAUGGUAGAUGUGUAAAGAGGGUGCUAGGGACAUUUUGUUUGGGUGAAAGACAAUUAGAUCAUCCAAUUUUAUUGACUCUAUUAGUGUCAUUAGAAAUAUGAUGUUCUUAAUUCUCAAAGAUGAUUAAACAUCCUUUUCUUUUAUCGGUGAGAGGCCAGCCUUCAGAUUUCAACUUCCUGGAAAGGUAGCUGAACUCUAGAGCUCAGAGGAAAUGUUUAGAUGAAGAAAAUAACAGAGAUAAUAAUUGUAGCUUCUAGAAAAUAGUGCAAAAUGGGUUGCUUCUUGUGAUGUCAUAAUAAUGUAGAUGUAAGCCAACAUUUUGUUAUGUAAAACAGUGUAAGAACCACAAAUAUGCUAUCUAGAGCCAAAUUCUUUCAAAACUUAUGUGUUUCAAGGGUGAAAGGCUGAACCAAAACAACAAAAUAACAGUAACUUCGUUGAUUCAUUUUUUUUUUUUACAUAUUGCUUCUAUUACCCCAGGGCUGUUGUCUAAGUGAAGCUUUCUACUCUAAUCAACACUGUGAAUAUCUGAGAGUGUAAGUCUGAUGUUUGGUAUAAAAUGUAAAAUUGUGAAAUACAAAUAUACUUGAAUUUCUAACAUCUCCACAAGACUUUUCCAGACUUUAAAACUCGAUGUAUCCAAAAAGAAUCUGGCAACCUGCCACUCCACCCCCUACCUCUUUCCACCCACUGAUUUUACCUUGUUAUACUAAGUUUGGAGGAUUUCCAGUUCUUUUCUCAGAGAAGAAUUUUUCUUUAUCGAAGCUUUUACUAAGACUCCUUUUCCUGGAGUUCCGAUUGUGCCGCAGCAGAAACGAAUCCCACUAGGAAACAUGAGGUUGUGGGUUCAAUCCCUGGCCUUGCUCAGUGGGUUAAGGAUCCGGCGUUACCAUGCGCUGUGAUGUAGAUGGCAGAUGCGGCUCGGAUCCUGCAUUGCUGUGGUUGUGGUAUAGGUCAGCAGCUACAACUCCAAUUUGACCCCCGGCCUGGGAACUUCCAUAUGCCACAGUU
This 5338-nucleotide long non-coding RNA is filed under the name Sus scrofa (pig). Its description in RNAcentral is "lncRNA (ENSSSCG00000055250.1)". The record is from RNAcentral. Lineage: Eukaryota; Metazoa; Chordata; Mammalia; Artiodactyla; Suidae.